This 306-nucleotide long non-coding RNA is filed under the name Sorghum bicolor (sorghum). RNAcentral describes it as "long non-coding RNA (SBIC_LNC014816)". Lineage: Eukaryota; Viridiplantae; Streptophyta; Magnoliopsida; Poales; Poaceae. The record is from RNAcentral.
GGUGUGAAACUAGACUCAAAGGGCUUUCCAGCAAUGUAUGCCAACCAGCAUGAAACAUUGUAGAUUGGUACAGUUUUACUUGGCAAGUUGUACCAACAUUCUGUCACGACAGACUGUUGACCUUCUGAGCAGUCUGUGCUAAUUCUGGUCUAGAGGCAAUAUGGAGUAUCCAAACUGGUCGCCACUAGAUUCAUUGGAAAGUAGACUUGUCAAGAUUUCCAACAAGUGUUCAUGGACCUUCAUAGCAUUUGUGAGUGAAAAGUUAUGAAGAUUUCUUGCACUGGUCCGUUUUUGACUUCCACUGGU